CACAUGCUGCUGGCUCCUGAAGAGAGAGAGCUUGCGUGCCAGGAUCCAGGAGUCAGCCAAGCCGAGGCACUACCUGGGACCCCGACAGAGGAAGUCACAGGGAGAAACAGACCAGAAGACCCCCCUGAUCCAGAUGAACUGUGUGAAACUUUUUCCUGAUGCUGACCCACAGGCUUGAUGGCCUGCUCAGGAAGGCUAAAGGUAGAAACUUAAGACCUGAUAAUAUACGACGUUCUCCUGCACAGAG
Molecule: long non-coding RNA, 247 nt
Organism: Mauremys reevesii (Reeves's turtle)
Lineage: Eukaryota; Metazoa; Chordata; Testudines; Geoemydidae
Exons: 3
Source: RefSeq, a predicted model, not a curated record